Molecule: unclassified non-coding RNA, 354 nt
Filed under: soil metagenome
Description: partial contains 5.8S ribosomal RNA, internal transcribed spacer 2, and large subunit ribosomal RNA
Rfam family: 5.8S ribosomal RNA (bases 1-120)
Source: RNAcentral
GAUGAAGAACGCAGCGAAACGCGAUAUGUAAUGUGAAUUGCAGAAUUCAGUGAAUCAUCGAAUCUUUGAACGCACAUGGCGCCUUCCAGUAUCCUGGGAGGCAUGCCUGUCCGAGCGUCGUUUCAACCCUCGAGCCCCCGUGGCCCGGCGUUGGGGAUCUGCCCAGGCAGUCCCCGAAAACCAGUGGCGGACCCGUUACAGGCCCUUCCCUUGCGUAGUAGCAUUCGCCUCGCAUCGGGUGCCGGCGGGCUUCCAGCCUCUAAACCCCCAUCAAGUCCGCCCCGGCGGCACCAAGGUUGACCUCGGAUCAGGUAGGAAUACCCGCUGAACUUAAGCAUAUCAAUAAGCGGAGGA